Molecule: ribosomal RNA, 285 nt
Filed under: uncultured bacterium
Lineage: Bacteria
Description: partial 16S ribosomal RNA
Rfam family: Bacterial small subunit ribosomal RNA
Source: RNAcentral
ACUCCUACGGGAGGCAGCAGUGGGGAAUAUUGCACAAUGGGGAAGCCCAUCGAUGCAGCCAUGCCGCGCUGUGUGAAGAAGGCCAAUUCGGGGCUUUGGUUAAAUGACACUUUUCAGUAGGGAGGAAGGUAGUGUAGUUAACACCUGCACUAUUUGACGUUACCUACAGAAGAAGCACCGGCUAACUCCGUGCCAGCAGCCGCGGUAAUACGGAGGGUGCGAGCGUUAAUCGGAAUUACUGGGCGUAAAGCGCAUGCAGGCGGCCUGUUAAGUCAGAUGUGAAAG